Molecule: ribosomal RNA, 451 nt
Filed under: uncultured bacterium
Lineage: Bacteria
Description: bacterial SSU rRNA
Rfam family: Bacterial small subunit ribosomal RNA
Source: RNAcentral
GUCGAGGAUCUUUUGCAAUGCCCGAAAGGGUGACAAUGCGACGCCGCGUGUGCGAUGAAGGUUUUCGGAUCGUAAAGCACUGUCGACCGGGAUGAAUCUCGGGAGGCUUAAUAAGCCUUCAGGGUGACAGUACCGGUAGAGGAAGCCACGGCUAACUCCGUGCCAGCAGCCGCGGUAAUACGGAGGUGGCAAGCGUUACUCGGAUUGAUUGGGUGUAAAGGGUGUGUAGGUGGUGAAUUAAGUCGAAUGUGAAAUCCCUUGGCUUAACCAAGGAACUGCAUUCGAAACUGAUUCGCUUGAGCGACGGAGAGGAAAGCGGAAUUCCCGGUGUAACAGUGAAAUGUGUAGAUAUCGGGAGGAACACCAGUGGCGAAGGCGGCUUUCUGGACGUUUGCUGACACUGAAACACGAGAGCUAGGGGAGCAAACAGGAUUAGAUACCCGGGUAGUCC